CCUGUGUAUGUGUGUUGGGGGGUGUCUGGACCCUGUGUGUGUGUGGUCUCUGACCCUGUGUGUGUUGGGGGGGGGGGGUCUGGACUGUGUGUGUGUGUGUGUGUGUGUGUGUGUGUGUGUAGGGGACCUGAUGGUGACCCUAGUUGCAGGAGGAGGAGCCCCACGCACGUGUCUGGCCAUAGCCGGUGGCACCCAUGGGCCUGGCGUCAGACCCUGCUAGUCACUCGACCUCUCAGUGCCUCGGUUUCUCCAUCUCUGAGGUGGGUGUGAUAACAGCACCUGUUCUGUAGACCUGUUAGGAGACAGCAGCAGCUAACACAUGCAGGAACACCUGGGACAGAGUGUCAGCUUGCUGUGAAGACCAGCCUUCAUCCUCAUGGCAGCAGCAGGCCGCAGGCUGCCCCUGGUGGCCUGGGGUCCCCUGCAGGGCUGCUGGAGGACUGGCCCAGAGCCGUGCCGUUGCCCAUGAGUGACAGCUGCUCCCGCUGGUCACUUUAAAGGACGGGCAGUGGGCAGGGCCCAGGCCCAGCCCUGUGGAUCCAGUCGGCAUGGCCUGCCCUGUGUACCCAUGCCCCUCUUGCUGUGUCUGUCCCCCCGUCCCCAGGGGAGGGGGUCUGGGCUGUCCCCUGCGUGUCUGCAGCUGAGGGUGGGCUGGCCCAUGCAGGGCAGAGGUGGGGCCUAGCCCUCGACUGCUCACCUUGAUGCUGUUCCCUGAGCCCCAUCUGGGAGCAAGGAUGGGGGAACUCGAGUCCUCAAAACAAGACGUUUCCCCUCCCUUGGACCCCUGAGCCCAGCAGUGGGGUCAGUAUGUGUCUGAUGGUGGAUCUGAGUGAUCUCCGGGUGCUCAGUGGAGGGCAGACCCGGCAGCCUCCAGAUAGGAGAUUCACAGGGGGGCCACCUGUGUCUCCUGUAGUUGGACAGGGUGUGGGGCACCUGGAGCCCUCUCUUCCUGUGGGUGAGAGGGGGACACUUGGAAAAGCUAGAGCUGUUCUGGGCAAACGCUCAGCUAUCUCCUGAGGCAAGUGCACACCCACCCCAGGACCAGUGACUUCAGGAGUCGGAGGCCCCUCGAGAGCAGAGUGAGCAUGCACACAUGGUGAGUACACCUCCCAAAUGUCAGUCCCGUGGCGGAAGCAGGGUGCCCACAGCACGACCUUGACAGGCAAGCAGGCCCGUGAUGGUGGGAGUGGGGGAGGUGGUUACUCUUGGGGAUGGCGACUGAAAGGUGUUUAGACUUCUCAGGUGCUGGAACUUUGUACAUCUUGGUCUGGGUGUGGACAGCAAAGUUCUCAGUUUAUAAAGCUGUGCUCUCAGCAUAUCUGUGCUUUGCUCUGUAAGUGUGACACUCGAGAAACCAAAGUGCCCUGACCGAGGGGCUGCAGUCCUGGCCUGCAUGAGAUGCCUGCAGGCCUGGGUUGGCCCAUCCCGCCUGGGCCUCAGUUUUCCCAGCUAGAGCAGGAGGUUGCACACAGCUGGGGAGGCCUGAGUCCUGCCCACAGGCACGUGCAUACUGACCUUGACCACGCAGCUCCUGUGGCCCCUGCCUCGGGGCUCAGGGUUGGGAAAUCGCUUGCUGACUCACUUCGCUCGGCUCACCCAGAACCAGCUGGGGCCUGGUCACACUUCUUCCAUUUGGAGGGGACAGAGGGGGAAGGGCCUCCACGUGGUGGGCGGGAGUUGGGGGAGGCCGUCCCCCAGCCCUGUGGCUGCCCCGGCUGGUGCUCCUGGGGGCCCUGGGGGCGCCAGCUCAGGGCCAUCUGAGUCCUUCUCAGACCCCUCCGUGCCGCACAAAGGGCCCUCUGACCACCGCUGAAACUUGUCAUCACAGUGGUUCAGAAAAUCUCAGUCAUUUAUUAAUACUUGGCUCAAGAAAACAGUGACUGUUGAAUGCCCUCUGUAUCAGACUAUGCUGAAGACAGCAGCCUUCAAACCCCCCCACACUGGGAGCCAGCCUAGGGGUGGACAGCUGGUACACCUCCUUCCACAGGAGAGUAAAUGGAGGCCGCUGGCUCAGGCUGCCCGAUUCCGGUGCCACGGCAACCUCCAGCGUCACGUGCUAGGUGAUCACGGAUUCUUUCCUUUCCUCACUUUUAUUGUAUUUGAUGUUUUUUCAUCCCUUUAUUUGUUCAUUCAUUUUAAACAGCUUCAUUGAGUUUUAAUUCACAGACUACACCAUGCACCCACUUAAAGGGUCACGUCGACGGUCUUGGUUUACCCAUGGACAAGAGCAGCCAUCACUUGGUCCAUUGUGGGGCAUUUUCAUCACCCCAGAGAGAAGCCUGUGCCGUUUACUGACGUUCUUCCCCGCCUGCCCACGGGCAGAUGUGCCUGUAAAGCUCAGUGUGGUGGUGAUCUCUAACCAGGGCUCCCUCUGGCUUGGUGCGCUGACCUGUGGCCCAGGCCGCCCCCGCUGGUGGCUCCUGCCCCAGCUCCACUCUGCUGCUUGUCUGCCUGGCUCUGUUACCGAAAGGCCACUCAGAGGCAGGCAUGUGGGCCUGGGCCUCCACGUGCCCAGACCUGCCUGUGCCUUAGAGUCUCCCUGGAGCCACUGAGAACAUGAAUAUAAACUAGGAGACAAAGGGGGUGCCUCAUCUUGACCAUUGGAGACUCACCAGGGCCCCAGGUCACAGCACAGUUUGCCCUGAAAUCUCCCGUGGUGAGCGUGAUGCUCCACCCAGCCUGGGGCUCCAGGGACCACAUCCCAGGGUAAAAUAGUUACUGUGGCCCAAUGUGAGUCCAGAAGAGGUCCUCAAAUUUGCUGCACGUUGAGCUAGUGAAGGAGCAGUUAUUCCUAAGCUUCUCCGUUUGUAGGUCUGUUGUCCACUGUGAAACCCAGGUCACUGCUUCUGUGGGUCCAUUGCAGCCGCGGGGGCCUCACCCUAGGGGCCCCAGGCAGGUGUUCGCCCCAGCUGCUCCCCCGCCCCACGCACCCCUCCAGGCUCAGAUGGGCCUCAACCCUGCUCUCAUUGCAGCGGUGUUAUUUUGAUUAAACAUUUAUUUUUCAAACCUGUAGAAAUCACUGUCUUUGGCCAAAACAGACAUGAUUUAUGUUUUUUAAAUCAGCUCUGCUCUACUCAAAACAUAUUUAAAAGAUGGGCAAAGUCAGUCUGGACUGUUUAGGUGACUCCGCGGCGACUCUAGGAAGAAGCUCAGGGACCAAGAGCUGACCCAGGGCCUGGAGGGUCCUUUCUGAGAGGGUCACAGGCAGUGAGUGAGAGGGUCCAGCCGAGAAGCCGGUCCGCCGCGGCCGCUGCAGGCCUGGCCUCCCGCGAGACGCACGCAGGGCGGGGCGGCGUCGGGCCGGCCUCCUCAGACCCGUCUGCCUCCCCCUGGAUCCCCGCGACCCUCCCUCACCGCCCCUCACCGCCCCUCACGUGACUCUGUCGGCUGAACCCGCCCUCAUGCUUCCUGCUGACCUGGCGAGAAUGGGCCAGAUUUUCUGUUCCUGAGAGUUUCCUUGGAUACCAGGGAAUUCUAGCAAAAGUUUGGGGUCAGCACUGGAAUAUUUCUCUCCAGCCGCGCUGAGUUCCCGAUGACACCGCCUCAGCCCAUCUGCAGAGACAAAGUGCACCUCCAGCUGCUGUUCACAGCAGCACCUUCAGCUGCAAGAAUUAGGAUCUCUGCUCCCAACGCCCAGGCACAGCUUCUCCAUCCCUUGAAGGAAGCUCCACACUGUUCUCCAGAGUGGCUGUUCUCGAUUUACAUUGCCAGCAUCAGGGUUCUUCUUCCCAUAUAACGAAGAUCCUAAAAAGUACAGAGAAGCAAGAGUCAGAGGAGAACAAAAAUGCAGCAAGAGGUGGUGCAAACAAAUGCAAAAUCCAAGAUAUGUAAUCCUGUAGAAGCAGGGCUCUACAAGUUUGAAGCCCGGAAACUGGAUUCCGGAAUUCUUUACAUUGGGCACAUUUUCCCUAAGAAACUGCCUGAGAAGCCACCCACCAGGUCUAUUUGCUUUGAUUUUGAAAUGGAGAAAAGAAUCAAACAGCAAGAAGAGAGGGUGUUGGAGGAUAAACACUUUGAAUUUAUGUGAAUUAAAUUAAAUACCCUUCUUGUAUCUAGUUAGGUGUUCCUGAAAAGAAAGAAACUCCACUCACUGACCCCCAGGACUCCUGCCUUUGUUGGGAAGAAAAGGACCCAACACUCACCCAAGAAGAUGAGGACAAGGAACAGUCAGUAGUGAUAAGAGCCCAACAAUGGCCCCAUGCCGGAGCACCUUUGAAGCCCAAAAUCCCAGUGAGGAGAACCGUGGAAAUGCGCCCUUUCUCUUUUGAUUCAAAAAAGUCCCUUACAGAAGGAGAAGAAAAUAAAACAACUGCAGAAAGGGGAGGUGCCCAACGUCUAGGCUCGCUCUUCACCUCAUUUUACACCAUUAACCUGCAGGAGAACAUGAAGAGCAGGGCUCAGGCUGAGCCUUCUGCGUGUUGCCUGGCAGAAGAGGCGCCUGAAGGCGCAGACUUGGAUCCUCUUCGCUCCCCGGCCACAAGGGCUCCUCCUGGGUUGAUGGGCAGAGCAGCUCUGGUUCCCGCCGGCGUCCGCAGCUGGGUCUGGCGGCGGAGUCGACUAGAGAACCUGGGUGGUACCCACCAGUGAAGGGCCCUCACUCAAGGUAGUUUGUGCGGCUUCCCUCCUCCUCCUCUGUUUUAUAAGUGUCAGACUAUAUCGUUGAUUUACUUUGUAAUUUAUUCACUUUAAGUGUAUUUUUUAC
This is a long non-coding RNA of Cervus elaphus (red deer), 4702 nucleotides long. RefSeq lists it as uncharacterized. The record is from RefSeq and is a predicted model, not a curated record. NCBI's taxonomy places the organism in Eukaryota, Metazoa, Chordata, Mammalia, Artiodactyla, Cervidae. The transcript is spliced from 3 exons.